Molecule: long non-coding RNA, 597 nt
Organism: Anopheles aquasalis
Lineage: Eukaryota; Metazoa; Arthropoda; Insecta; Diptera; Culicidae
Source: RefSeq, a predicted model, not a curated record
CAAGAGGAGAAAAUCCAAAUCAUAUUGCAAGCCUUGAGGCAAUGUCCUGAAAUAAGUGAGUUGCAACUUAGCUGGAAUAAUCAUGGAUCAUGCGGAUGGCUGGAUUUGUUAGGAAACAUUAAGAAAUUGAAGGUUCUGCAUUUGUCGGGAUGUUUUAAAUGUCUGCGCGGCAACGCAUUCGGAAUGCUUACGCCGUUCCGGAAUUUAGCGGCAGUUGUAUCCCGGCUGAGCGAUUUGCAUCUAGCUUAUUGCUGCAUCGAUGAUAAGUGUUUGGCGAUUUUGUGUUCAAAAGCAAAGUUAAACCUCCUGAGAUUGCAGCAUUGCCACUAUAUAACCGAUGCCGUGGUGUUGAAUUUAGCUGUAAUAUGCCCGACUCUUCAACGUCUGACUGUAUCGCAGUGUGCAAUGAUAAGACCGGGAAGCAUCGACGAGCUUCAGAAAAUUAUGCCCGGACUGGACAUUACUUACCAUGAAAUGUAGGAAUCGUUUUCACUCUCCGCUUCUUAAGUUUUUCACUCACCAUUCUCAUUAUUUAGCGUCAUUCAAUGUUACGAUUAUAUGGAGUAGUAUGAGCUGAGUUAGUUUUUGAAUAAUUGC